CCUACGGGAUGCAGCAGUGAGGAAUAUUGGUCAAUGGCCGCAGGGCUGAACCAGCCAAGUCGCGUGAGGGAUGACGGUCCUAUGGAUUGUAAACCUCUUUUGUCAGGGAGCAAAGGGCGCCACGUGUGGCGCUUUGCGCGUACCUGAAGAACAAGCAUCGGCUAACUCCGUGCCAGCAGCCGCGGUAAUACGGAGGAGGCGAGCGUUAUCCGGAGUUAUUGGGUUUAAAGGGUGCGCAGGCGGAAUGUCAAGUCAGCGGUAAAAUUUCGGGGCUCAACCCCGUCGUGCCGUUGAACCUGGCGGUCUGGAGUGAGCGAGAAGUAUGCGGAAUGCGUGGUGUAGCGGUGAAAUGCAUAGAUAUCACGCAGAACUCCGAUUGCGAAGGCAGCAUACCGGCGCUCAACUGACGCUCAUGCACGAAAGCGUGGGUAUCGAACAGGAUUAGAUACCCGUGUAGUC
RNAcentral lists this ribosomal RNA (459 nucleotides) under uncultured bacterium. Its description in RNAcentral is "partial 16S ribosomal RNA". It matches the Rfam family "Bacterial small subunit ribosomal RNA", at positions 338 to 795 of the family's 1533-position model. The record is from RNAcentral.